Molecule: transfer RNA, 75 nt
Filed under: Mycoplasmataceae bacterium
Lineage: Bacteria; Bacillati; Mycoplasmatota; Mollicutes; Mycoplasmatales; Mycoplasmataceae
Description: tRNA-Gln
Rfam family: tRNA
About the family: Transfer RNA (tRNA) molecules are approximately 80 nucleotides in length. Their secondary structure includes four short double-helical elements and three loops (D, anti-codon, and T loops). Further hydrogen bonds mediate the characteristic L-shaped molecular structure. tRNAs have two regions of fundamental functional importance: the anti-codon, which is responsible for specific mRNA codon recognition, and the 3' end, to which the tRNAs corresponding amino acid is attached (by aminoacyl-tRNA synthetases). tRNAs cope with the degeneracy of the genetic code in two manners: having more than one tRNA (with a specific anti-codon) for a particular amino acid; and 'wobble' base-pairing, i.e. permitting non-standard base-pairing at the 3rd anti-codon position.
Source: RNAcentral
UGGGUUGUAGCCAAGUGGUAAGGCACGAGAUUUUGAUUCUCGCACGCAAUGGUUCGAAUCCAUUCUACCCAGCCA